Molecule: ribosomal RNA, 516 nt
Filed under: Staphylococcus aureus
Lineage: Bacteria; Bacillati; Bacillota; Bacilli; Caryophanales; Staphylococcaceae
Description: bacterial SSU rRNA
Rfam family: Bacterial small subunit ribosomal RNA
Source: RNAcentral
CUUCGGGGGACAAAGUGACAGGUGGUGCAUGGUUGUCGUCAGCUCGUGUCGUGAGAUGUUGGGUUAAGUCCCGCAACGAGCGCAACCCUUAAGCUUAGUUGCCAUCAUUAAGUUGGGCACUCUAAGUUGACUGCCGGUGACAAACCGGAGGAAGGUGGGGAUGACGUCAAAUCAUCAUGCCCCUUAUGAUUUGGGCUACACACGUGCUACAAUGGACAAUACAAAGGGCAGCGAAACCGCGAGGUCAAGCAAAUCCCACAAAGUUGUUCUCAGUUCGGAUUGUAGUCUGCAACUCGACUACAUGAAGCUGGAAUCGCUAGUAAUCGUAGAUCAGCAUGCUACGGUGAAUACGUUCCCGGGUCUUGUACACACCGCCCGUCACACCACGAGAGUUUGUAACACCCGAAGCCGGUGGAGUAACCUUUUAGGAGCUAGCCGUCGAAGGUGGGACAAAUGAUUGGGGUGAAGUCGUAACAAGGUAGCCGUAUCGGAAGGUGCGGCUGGAUCACCUCCUUU